AGCAUCACCAAUGAGACGCUCAGAAUCAGUGAAACCAACGUAGGACGGCGUCGUUCUGUUACCUUGAUCAUUGGCAAUGAUUUCAACACGAUCGUGUUGCCAUACACCGACGCAUGAGUAUGUAGUACCGAGAUCAAUUCCGAUCGCCGGUCCUUCUCCCUUGCCGGCCAUAUCUUUUCUUUUAGAGUCGGCUAGUUACUGAGGAAAGAGGAGCUGAAAUCUGAAUGAAAGCUUUGAAGAAGUAGGUUUU
This 250-nucleotide unclassified non-coding RNA is filed under the name Hevea brasiliensis (rubber tree). The record is from RNAcentral. Lineage: Eukaryota; Viridiplantae; Streptophyta; Magnoliopsida; Malpighiales; Euphorbiaceae.